This 72-nucleotide transfer RNA is filed under the name Ovis aries (sheep). It matches the Rfam family "tRNA". Rfam says of the family: Transfer RNA (tRNA) molecules are approximately 80 nucleotides in length. Lineage: Eukaryota; Metazoa; Chordata; Mammalia; Artiodactyla; Bovidae. The record is from Rfam by way of RNAcentral.
UCACAUAUGGCUCAGAUGGUAAAGUGUCUGCCUGCGAUGCAGGAGACCCAAGUUCGAUCCCUGGAUUGGGAA